Molecule: long non-coding RNA, 242 nt
Filed under: Elaeis guineensis (African oil palm)
Lineage: Eukaryota; Viridiplantae; Streptophyta; Magnoliopsida; Arecales; Arecaceae
Description: long non-coding RNA (EGUI_LNC073409)
Source: RNAcentral
UUCUCCCUCCCCCUCUCUCUCUUAUUCUACGGCUCUCUUUUAUAACAGAAAAAGAAUGUUCUCCAAAUCCAUUCCAAAAUUUCUGUAUCUUUUCUCUUUCUCCUUCCUCCCUAACUCAAAGACGAAUCUAAUGAAAUAGUAGUUGGUCAGUUUACCCAAAAAAUAUAGUAAAAGUAUUGGUCUGGAAUGUGAAUAUGAGAUAAAAUGGUACAAGUGAAUGCAAUAUAUAAUCUUGAAAUUGA